Molecule: ribosomal RNA, 465 nt
Filed under: uncultured bacterium
Lineage: Bacteria
Description: partial 16S ribosomal RNA
Rfam family: Bacterial small subunit ribosomal RNA
Source: RNAcentral
GACGAACGCUGGCGGCGUGCUUAACACAUGCAAGUCGAACGGAAAGGCCCUGCUUGCAGGGUACUCGAGUGGCGAACGGGUGAGUAACACGUGGGUGAUCUGCCCUGCACUUCGGGAUAAGCCUGGGAAACUGGGUCUAAUACCGGAUAGGAGCGAUUCUUAGUGUGAUGGUUGGAAAGUUUUUUCCGUGUAGGAUGAGAUCGCGGCCUAGCAGCUUGGUGGUGGGGUAAUGGCCUACCAAGGCGGCGACGGGUAGCCGGCCUGGGAGGGUGGACGGCCCCAGUGGGACCGGGGUACGGCCCAGACCCCUACGGGGGGCCGCCGUGGGGGAGAUUGCACAAAUGGCGGGAGGCGGAUGCAGCGACGCCGCGUGGGGGAAGACGGCCUUCGGGUUGUAAACGCCUUUCCCUAGGGUCGAAGCUGUUUGUGACGGUACCUGGAUAAGAAGCACCGGCUAACUACGUG